GUGGGCUAUGGGGAUAUGAGGCCUGUCACUGUGGGGGGCAAGAUUGUGGGGUCCUUGUGUGCUAUUGCUGGCGUGCUCACCAUUGCCCUGCCUGUGCCGGUUAUUGUCUCCAAC
Podarcis lilfordi (Lilford's wall lizard) is the source of this 114-nucleotide non-coding RNA. The record is from the annotation of a GenBank genome assembly. Lineage: Eukaryota; Metazoa; Chordata; Lepidosauria; Squamata; Lacertidae.